AUGUUGUAUGGCGCUGAGUGUUGGCCGACUAAAAGGCGACAUGUUCAACAGUUAGGUGUGGCGGAGAUGCGAAUGCUGAGAUGGAUGUGUGGCCACACGAGGAAGGAUCGAGUCCGAAAUGAUGAUAUACGAGAUAGAAUUGGGGUAGCACCAAUUGAAGAGAAGCUUGUCCAUCAUCAUCUGAGAUGGUUUGGGCAAAUUCAGCGCAGGUCUCCAGAAGCUCCGGUGCAUAGUGGACGGCGUAAUAUCAAGAAGCUCCAGAAGCUCCGCGUGCUGAUAAUGUCAGGUCGGGGUAGACCGAACUUGACAUGGGAGGUGUCCGUAAAGAUAGAUCUGAAAGACUGGAGUAUCGCCAAAGAACUAGCCAUGGACAGGGGUGCGUAG
RNAcentral lists this ribosomal RNA (384 nucleotides) under Triticum aestivum (bread wheat). RNAcentral describes it as "partial small subunit ribosomal RNA". The record is from RNAcentral. Lineage: Eukaryota; Viridiplantae; Streptophyta; Magnoliopsida; Poales; Poaceae.